RNAcentral lists this long non-coding RNA (492 nucleotides) under Helianthus annuus (common sunflower). The record is from RNAcentral. Lineage: Eukaryota; Viridiplantae; Streptophyta; Magnoliopsida; Asterales; Asteraceae.
AUGUUAAUUUUCUUAACGAACGAACAUGAACAUGGUCUUGUUCGUGUUCGUUCGGUUCGUUUACAGCCCUAUUACUGACUCUUGUACUGGUGGAAAAACAAAAGUUUUUAAAUGUAAUGACCACAGAUCAUGUCUCCGAGGAUGAUAAAUCGGUACAAUAUUAUGCUGCGAACGUGCUUAACCUGACCUUUCGUCUCUUGAUGGGGAUUUCUCGAAGGUCAGCCUGUCCCAUUUUGACUCGUUACACAACCUGAGUGUCCUGCCCUUAAGCCACCUCUCUGGUAAGUAAAUUUGGUAUUCUGUAAAAAUCUUUACUUUAACAUCAUUUGCUAUACACACAUAAUUGAAUGCAAAUCAACCAAAUGGUGAUCUAUUUCAUCAGGAGUCUUGGAGGUAAAUAUGUAUUGCAGGGCCCAACUAAUGUGGUAAAUACUUAUAAUAUAUUGAGUUAAUUACUGUUUUCGUCCCUGUGGUUUGCCAAAAAUCACUAUU